This 119-nucleotide ribosomal RNA is filed under the name Pteropus alecto (black flying fox). The record is from RNAcentral. Lineage: Eukaryota; Metazoa; Chordata; Mammalia; Chiroptera; Pteropodidae.
GUCUACGGCCAUGCUACCCUGAACAAGCCCGAUCCCGUCUGAUCUCGGAAGCUAAGCAGGGUCAGGCCUGAUCAGUACUUGGUUGGGAGACUAUCUAUGAGGACCAGGAGCUGUAGGCA